CUCGAGGUCGUCUAGUUGGUUUAUGGCGCCAGACUGUAAAUCUGGAUGUCAGCGGUUCGACUCCGCUUCUCGAGA
RNAcentral lists this transfer RNA (75 nucleotides) under Clonostachys rosea. It matches the Rfam family "tRNA". Rfam says of the family: Transfer RNA (tRNA) molecules are approximately 80 nucleotides in length. Their secondary structure includes four short double-helical elements and three loops (D, anti-codon, and T loops). RNAcentral also lists the same sequence under 1 other name. Lineage: Eukaryota; Fungi; Ascomycota; Sordariomycetes; Hypocreales; Bionectriaceae. The record is from RNAcentral.